CGGACGGGUGAGUAAUGUCUGGGAAACUGCCUGAUGGAGGGGGAUAACUACUGGAAACGGUAGCUAAUACCGCAUAAUGUCGCAAGACCAAAGAGGGGGACCUUCGGGCCUCUUGCCAUCGGAUGUGCCCAGAUGGGAUUAGCUAGUAGGUGGGGUAACGGCUCACCUAGGCGACGAUCCCUAGCUGGUCUGAGAGGAUGACCAGCCACACUGGAACUGAGGCACGGUCCAG
Molecule: ribosomal RNA, 232 nt
Filed under: uncultured bacterium
Lineage: Bacteria
Description: partial 16S ribosomal RNA
Rfam family: Bacterial small subunit ribosomal RNA
Source: RNAcentral